CCAAGGAGUCUAACAUGUGCGCGAGUCGUCGGGUCUUGGACAGGCCCGCAGGCGCAAUGAAAGUGAAGGGCGACCCCGUCGUCGCCUGCGUUGGGAUCCCCGGUCCCUCGGGUCCGGGGCGCACCAACGGCCCGUCCCGUCUGCAGCGUCAGUGGGACGGAGCGAGAGCGUACACGUUGGGACCCGAAAGAUGGUGAACUAUGCCUGGGCAGGACGAGGCCAGAGGAAACUCUGGUGGAGGUCCGCAGCGAUUCUGACGUGCAAAUCGAUCGUCAGACCUGGGUAUAGGGGCGAAAGACUAAUCGAACCAUCUAGUAGCUGGUUCCCUCCGAAGUUUCCCUCAGGAUAGCUGGCGCUCGAAGGGAGUCAGUCUCAUCCGGUAAAGCGAAUGAUUAGAGGCCUUGGGGCCGAAACGACCUCAACCUAUUCUCAAACUUUCAAUGGGUGAGAAGUCCGGUUUACAUGACUGAAGCCCGGACAAUUCUCAGGAUGUGAGUGCCCAGUGGGCCACUUUU
This 515-nucleotide ribosomal RNA is filed under the name Didymocentrus lesueurii. RNAcentral's name for it is "eukaryotic LSU rRNA". It matches the Rfam family "Eukaryotic large subunit ribosomal RNA", at positions 666 to 1138 of the family's 3401-position model. The record is from RNAcentral. Lineage: Eukaryota; Metazoa; Arthropoda; Arachnida; Scorpiones; Diplocentridae.